This 447-nucleotide ribosomal RNA is filed under the name uncultured bacterium. RNAcentral's name for it is "bacterial SSU rRNA". It matches the Rfam family "Bacterial small subunit ribosomal RNA", at positions 330 to 792 of the family's 1533-position model. The record is from RNAcentral.
UCCAGACUCCUACGGGAGGCAGCAGUGGGGAAUAUUGGGCAAUGGGCGCAAGCCUGACCCAGCAACGCCGCGUGAAGGAAGAAGGCUUUCGGGUUGUAAACUUCUUUUAAGAGGGAAGAGUAGAAGACGGUACCUCUUGAAUAAGCCACGGCUAACUACGUGCCAGCAGCCGCGGUAAUACGUAGGUGGCAAGCGUUGUCCGGAUUUACUGGGUGUAAAGGGCGUGUAGCCGGGCCGGCAAGUCAGAUGUGAAAUCCAUGGGCUUAACCCGUGAACUGCUUUUGAAACUGCAGGACUUGAGUGGAGUAGAGGUAGGCGGAAUUCCCGGUGUAGCGGUGAAAUGCGUAGAGAUCGGGAGGAACACCAGUGGCGAAGGCGGCCUACUGGGCUUUAACUGACGCUGAAGCACGAAAGCGUGGGUAGCAAACAGGAUUAGAUACCCGCGUA